RNAcentral lists this ribosomal RNA (444 nucleotides) under uncultured bacterium. RNAcentral describes it as "bacterial SSU rRNA". It matches the Rfam family "Bacterial small subunit ribosomal RNA", at positions 338 to 795 of the family's 1533-position model. The record is from RNAcentral.
CCUACGGGAGGCUGCAGUGGGGAAUAUUGGGCAAUGGGCGAAAGCCUGACCCAGCAAUGCCGCGUGUGUGAAGAAGGUCUUCGGAUUGUAAAGCACUAUAUUGGGGAAGAACACAAUGACGGUACCCAAGAGAAAAAGCCCCGGCUAACUAUGUGCCAGCAGCCGCGGUAAUACAUAGGGGGCUAGCUUUGUCCGGAAUUACUGGGCGUAAAGGGUGCGUAGGUGGUAGUGUAUGUUGGAAGUGUAAUCCCUCGGGCUUAACUCAGGGGCUGCUUCCAAAACUACAUUGCUUGAGUAUCGGAGAGGAAAACGGAAUUCCUAGUGUAGCGGUGAAAUGCGUAGAUAUUAGGAGGAACACCAGAGGCGAAGGCGGUUUUCUGGACGAUAACUGACACUGAGGCACGAAAGCGUGGGGAGCGAAUGGGCUUAGAUACCCCGGUAGUC